This 532-nucleotide ribosomal RNA is filed under the name Micromonospora sp. MP40-A1. RNAcentral describes it as "bacterial SSU rRNA". It matches the Rfam family "Bacterial small subunit ribosomal RNA", at positions 290 to 832 of the family's 1533-position model. The record is from RNAcentral. Lineage: Bacteria; Bacillati; Actinomycetota; Actinomycetes; Micromonosporales; Micromonosporaceae.
GCCUGAGAGGGCGACCGGCCACACUGGGACUGAGACACGGCCCAGGACUCCUACGGGAGGCAGCAGUGGGGAAUAUUGCACAAUGGGCGGAAGCCUGAUGCAGCGACGCCGCGUGAGGGAUGACGGCCUUCGGGUUGUAAACCUCUUUCAGCAGGGACGAAGCGUAAGUGACGGUACCUGCAGAAGAAGCGCCGGCCAACUACGUGCCAGCAGCCGCGGUAAGACGUAGGGCGCGAGCGUUGUCCGGAUUUAUUGGGCGUAAAGAGCUCGUAGGCGGCUUGUCGCGUCGACUGUGAAAACCCGCAGCUCAACUGCGGGCCUGCAGUCGAUACGGGCAGGCUAGAGUUCGGUAGGGGAGACUGGAAUUCCUGGUGUAGCGGUGAAAUGCGCAGAUAUCAGGAGGAACACCGGUGGCGAAGGCGGGUCUCUGGGCCGAUACUGACGCUGAGGAGCGAAAGCGUGGGGAGCGAACAGGAUUAGAUACCCUGGUAGUCCACGNCUGUAAACGUUGGGCGCUAGGUGUCGGGGGCCU